ACGCACGCUGGCGGCGUGCCUAAUACAUGCAAGUUGAGCGCUGAAGGUUGGUACUUGUACCAACUGGAUGAGCAGCGAACGGGUGAGUAACGCGUGGGGAAUCUGCCUUUGAGCGGGGGACAACAUUUGGAAACGAAUGCUAAUACCGCAUAAAAACUUUAAACACAAGUUUUAAGUUUGAAAGAUGCAAUUGCAUCACUCAAAGAUGAUCCCGCGUUGUAUUAGCUAGUUGGUGAGGUAAAGGCUCACCAAGGCGAUGAUACAUAGCCGACCUGAGAGGGUGAUCGGCCACAUUGGGACUGAGACACGGCCCAAACUCCUACGGGAGGCAGCAGUAGGGAAUCGUCGGCAAUGGACGAAAGUCUGACCGAGCAACGCCGCGUGAGUGAAGAAGGUUUUCGGAUCGUAAAACUCGGUUGGUAGAGAAGAACGUUGGUGAGAGUGGAAAGCUCAUCAAGUGACGGUAACUACCCAGAAAGGGACGGCUAACUACGUG
Molecule: ribosomal RNA, 496 nt
Filed under: uncultured bacterium
Lineage: Bacteria
Description: partial 16S ribosomal RNA
Rfam family: Bacterial small subunit ribosomal RNA
Source: RNAcentral